Molecule: long non-coding RNA, 573 nt
Organism: Harmonia axyridis
Lineage: Eukaryota; Metazoa; Arthropoda; Insecta; Coleoptera; Coccinellidae
Exons: 4
Source: RefSeq, a predicted model, not a curated record
CCGCAGUAGUCAUGAUUUGAUCAAAAUAGCAACGCAAUGUCACUUAUUUUUAGACUUCAAACAGAGGAUGAAAAAAUAGUGACUUAUUUUAAUUUGGCACAAUAGCAUGUGUUAAUAUAUCUGGCUCUAUGAAAUGUCAUAUAGAAAGAUAAGAAGAUUAUCUCCUGCUACUAAACAUCGAAUUUCAGAUGCCGUGGACCAGCAGAACAAACUGUUUAUUUUCGAUAAUUGAAACAUUUGUAUUUUUUGCGAAAAUACUUAGUAUACCUAUAGCUAUAUAGGUCUUUCAACAGGCUUCUAUUGGGAUAGUGCAACAACAUAUAACUGCUAUUUUGAUCAUAAAUUUUAUGAAGAAAUAUGAAAAAAUAAAAUGAGCACGCAGAUCUUGUGUCUGUUCAAGCACGAUAUGAAUAAGGAAAAAACUUUAAUAAAAACCAGUUUCACAAGUGGCUUUUCUACCUCUUGCAACCAUAGGAGGACACAAAAAAAACUUUUUCUUAAAGAGAAAAUGAAAGAACUGCUUUUUUGGGUCUCUAUUCACAUGUAUUGGUCGAAUAAAUUGGUUAUAUGAAA